Long non-coding RNA from Oncorhynchus gorbuscha (pink salmon), 854 nucleotides. RefSeq lists it as uncharacterized. The transcript has 4 exons. The record is from RefSeq and is a predicted model, not a curated record. NCBI's taxonomy places the organism in Eukaryota, Metazoa, Chordata, Actinopteri, Salmoniformes, Salmonidae.
ACCUUCAGUUCCAGUAGCUGUAGUUUCCUCCGCAAUCCUCUGUUUUCUUUCUGGCUUUGAGACAUUUCCAAACGGAUGACUGCAUAGUCGUCGUCUACGAGUUUACAGAUCUCUGCCACGGCUGCAUUUGCUAACACCUCCAUGAUGGAGGCUAUUUGAGUGUGAAAAACCAUACAGUUAGCCAUUGUUAGCUAGCGUUACCUAGAUAACAUCUAUUAACCAAGCCCUGUCUCCAACGGGAAUUAAACACUACCUGAACCCAGAGUUGAGGACGUUGUCCCAUCCACUGGCCUCCACUAUGUCGCGUCUGGUCCUGGCCUGCUCUGUGAUGUUGUCUCCUGGGCCCUUGACUGCACCCGUCUGGGUCUGGGAAUCCAAGAUGGCCGUCCAGUCUCCUCUGUUAGCCUCCAACCAACCACCUGCAGGAAGAGCAGCACCUCUGGACCCUCCUCCUCCUGGAAAAAGACAGGUGACAGAGACGUACACUCCCUCAGUUUUAAAUACACCAUUGGAAAACCACACAUACGUGUUUCUCUGCGUACCCGGCCCACCACCUCAAGCUCAACAAGACGGAGCUGUUCUUCCUCUCGGGGAAGUCCUGCCAGCUCCAAAACCACAUCACGGUUGAUUGACAACUCCAUGGAGUACAAAGAACAAAGCAAUGACUUCCUGCAACUGUGAUAUAUGGUUGUCUCACCCAGCUAUCUUAAGAUGAAUGCACUACUAAGUCGCUCUGGAUAAGAAAAUCUGUUAAAUGACUUGCAUGUAAUGUUACAACAAAACAAAAAUCUGCAUGAACUUGAUAAACUGCAUUCAUUUCCUCAUUAAAAGUGUCUUAGGAAAAAUAAAGUAGU